CGAACGGGUGAGUAACACGUGAGCAAUCUGCCCUUGACUCUGGGAUAAGCGUUGGAAACGACGUCUAAUACCGGAUACGACCCUCGGAGGCAUCUCCUGGGGGUGGAAAGAAUUUUGGUCAAGGAUGAGCUCGCGGCCUAUCAGCUUGUUGGUGAGGUAAUGGCUCACCAAGGCGACGACGGGUAGCCGGCCUGAGAGGGUGACCGGCCACACUGGGACUGAGACACGGCCCAGACUCCUACGGGAGGCAGCAGUGGGGAAUAUUGCACAAUGGGCGAAAGCCUGAUGCAGCAACGCCGCGUGAGGGACGAAGGCCUUCGGGUUGUAAACCUCUUUUAGUAGGGAAGAAGCGAAAGUGACGGUACCUGCAGAAAAAGCACCGGCUAACUACGUGCCAGCAGCCGCGGUAAUACGUAGGGUGCAAGCGUUGUCCGGAAUUAUUGGGCGUAAAGAGCUCGUAGGCGGUUUGUCGCGUCUGCUGUGAAAACCCGAGGCUCAACCUCGGGCCUGCAGUGGGUACGGGCAGACUAGAGUGCGGUAGGGGAGAUUGGAA
RNAcentral lists this ribosomal RNA (553 nucleotides) under Leifsonia sp. RNAcentral's name for it is "bacterial SSU rRNA". It matches the Rfam family "Bacterial small subunit ribosomal RNA", at positions 99 to 666 of the family's 1533-position model. The record is from RNAcentral. Lineage: Bacteria; Bacillati; Actinomycetota; Actinomycetes; Micrococcales; Microbacteriaceae.